Molecule: ribosomal RNA, 351 nt
Filed under: Eleutherodactylus nortoni
Lineage: Eukaryota; Metazoa; Chordata; Amphibia; Anura; Eleutherodactylidae
Description: partial 12S ribosomal RNA
Rfam family: Bacterial small subunit ribosomal RNA
Source: RNAcentral
GCCCGGGAACUACGAGCAAAGCUUAAAACCCAAAGGACUUGACGGUGCCCCAAAUCCCCCUAGAGGAGCCUGUCCUAUAACCGAUAAUCCACGUUUAACCUCACCACUUCUAGCUUAUUCAGCCUGUAUACUUCCGUCGUCAGCUUACCACGUGAGCGAAACAAGUUAGCUUAAUGUCCAUAGUAUUCUCGUCAAUACGUCAGGUCAAAGUGCAGCAUAUGAUGUGGGAUAAAGAUUGGCUACACUUUUUAGUAUAAAAGAAACGGGAAACAGUAUGAAACUCUGUUGAAAGGCGGAUUUAGAAGUAAAAAGAAAUCAUAAAGUUCAUUUUAACCAGGCACUGGGACGCGU